RNAcentral lists this ribosomal RNA (250 nucleotides) under uncultured bacterium. RNAcentral describes it as "partial 16S ribosomal RNA". It matches the Rfam family "Bacterial small subunit ribosomal RNA", at positions 57 to 305 of the family's 1533-position model. The record is from RNAcentral.
GCAAGUCGAACGAGAAAGCUUCCUUCGGGAAGUGAGUAAAGUGGCGAAAGGGUGAGUAAUAUAUGGACGACCUACCCUCGAGACGGGGAUAACAGUUCGAAAGGACUGCUAAUACCCGAUGGUUCUGUUGGCCUACGGGCCUUCGGAUAAACGGUGAUUCCGCUCGUGGAGGGGUCCAUGUCCUAUCAGCUUGUUGGUGAGGUAACGGCUCACCAAGGCUAUGACGGGUAGCCGGACUGAGAGGUUGGCC